UAGGGAAUAUUGGACAAUGGGGGCAACCCUGAUCCAGCCAUGCCGCGUGAGUGAAGAAGGCCCUCGGGUUGUAAAGCUCUUUUGUCCGGAAAGAAAAGCUUCGGGUUAAUACCCCGGGGUUCUGACGGUACCGGAAGAAUAAGCACCGGCUAACUUCGUGCCAGCAGCCGCGGUAAUACGAAGGGUGCAAGCGUUACUCGGAAUUACUGGGCGUAAAGCGUGCGUAGGUGGUUGUUUAAGUCUGAUGUGAAAGCCCUGGGCUCAACCUGGGAAUGGCAUUGGAAACUGGGCAGCUAGAGUGCGGUAGAGGGUAGUGGAAUUCCCGGUGUAGCAGUGAAAUGCGUAGAGAUCGGGAGGAACAUCUGUGCCGAAGGCGACUGCCUGGACCAGCACUGACACUGAGGCACGAAAGCGUGGGGAGCAAACA
Molecule: ribosomal RNA, 427 nt
Filed under: uncultured bacterium
Lineage: Bacteria
Description: bacterial SSU rRNA
Rfam family: Bacterial small subunit ribosomal RNA
Source: RNAcentral